GGGUACAUAGCUCAGUGGUAGAGUACAAGCGUAACACGCAUGAGGUCCCAGGUUCUAUCCCUGGUACUUCCA
Molecule: transfer RNA, 72 nt
Filed under: Camelus bactrianus (Bactrian camel)
Lineage: Eukaryota; Metazoa; Chordata; Mammalia; Artiodactyla; Camelidae
Also listed under: 2 other names
Rfam family: tRNA
About the family: Transfer RNA (tRNA) molecules are approximately 80 nucleotides in length.
Source: Rfam by way of RNAcentral